RNAcentral lists this long non-coding RNA (866 nucleotides) under Nicotiana tabacum (common tobacco). RNAcentral's name for it is "long non-coding RNA (NTAB_LNC002801)". Lineage: Eukaryota; Viridiplantae; Streptophyta; Magnoliopsida; Solanales; Solanaceae. The record is from RNAcentral.
UAAUUCAGAUGCCAAAAAAAAAAACGAACAUCUCGAGGUAUCCUGGGAACAGAAAUUGGAAUAACUGACAUGAACAGAUCUUUUCAACAUAUAUACUGGGACAGCCUCAAGCAGCAAAGUUAAAAUCAAGUAGGCUCCUUAUUCAUAUGUAAACUCAAAGCAAUUAAAUACUAAUAUUCCCACCAAUCAAAUAUCAAAUCAGUGAUCAUAGAGUCAUAUCGAACUAUAAUCCGACAUGUCCAAACCAAGCAGAUUCAUAAAUUUAUAUGCUUGUCCAAAGUGAAGCAACAGAUUUAACAAAAUGACAUGGAAAAACUGGAGCCAAAUCAAAUCAGUAUUUUAUGCAUUCAAAACUAGCAACAAUCAGAAAAUUAGAAGUGUACCUACCUUGUAUUUUAAAAGAAACGAAGGAAAAGCGAAACGAAGCUCAACAGCAAUUUCCCGUCCACAACAAACAACAAUCGCAGCAAGACAACUCCAAUUAGAGCUUCGAUAACUUGGAUCCUAAAUAAGAUACGGGCAUCGAGAGAAGAGUUCCAAUCAAGGGCAGCCACAAUAGCUCGAGCUACAUCGCUUGCUAUACCAUUUUCCUCUAUCUUUUUUAGCUGUUAAUUAAUGCUUCAAUAGAUUCUUGAAGUUGUACAUUAUUCACCUUUGAAAAGGGUUUUAAAAGGAAGAAAGAAAAAAUUGGAAAGAGGGUUUUAAGCAAAUAUGUCAGUUAUUUGCACUCUGCGAUGGUGGACAGAGUGGGGAUAGAGGAAAGGUGCUUCAUCUUUUUUGGGCUAUAAUUUGUGUGUCGUGUGGAGAAAAUGAAGAAGAAGAAAGAGAGGUCUAAUCUUUUUUGUGGAAACAACGCUGAGGGGGUG